Molecule: ribosomal RNA, 498 nt
Filed under: uncultured bacterium
Lineage: Bacteria
Description: partial 16S ribosomal RNA
Rfam family: Bacterial small subunit ribosomal RNA
Source: RNAcentral
AUUGAACGCUGGCGGCAUGCCUUACACAUGCAAGUCGAACGGUAACGCGGGGCAACCUGGCGACGAGUGGCGAACGGGUGAGUAACGCAUCGGAACGUGCCCAAUAGUGGGGGAUAGCCCGGCGAAAGCCGGAUUAAUACCGCAUACGACCUACGGGUGAAAGCAGGGGAUCGCAAGACCUUGCGCUAAUGGAGCGGCCGAUGUCAGAUUAGGUUGUUGGUGGGGUAAAAGCCCACCAAGCCGACGAUCUGUAGCUGGUCUGAGAGGACGACCAGCGACACUGGGACUGAGACACGGCCCAGAGUCCCACGGGAGGCAGCAGUGGGGAAUUUUGGACAAUGGGCGCAAGCCUGAUCCAGCCAUGCCGCGUGCGGGAUGAAGGCCUUCGGGUUGUAAACCGCUUUUGUUAGGGAAGAAAUCUUUUGAGCUAAUACCUCGGAAGGAUGACGGUACCUAAAGAAUAAGCACCGGCUAACUACGUGCCAGCCGCCGCAGUAA